AAAAUAAUGAGUUUGAUCCUGGCUCCGAGUGAAUGCUGGUGGUAUGCUUUACACAUGCAAGUUGAACGCUAUAUAAUAGAGUAGCAUAAAGGUGAGUAAUAUAUAAGAAUUUUAAUAUUAAUUUUGGCAAUAAAAAAGGAAAUCCAAAAUAAAAAAUAAAGAGAAGUCAGAAAUGAAAAGCUCGUUAAUAUAAAAGCUUGUAUCGAAUUAGGUAGUUGGUAAGGUAAAGGCUUACCAAGCCAAGGAUUCGUAGUUGGUCUGGGAGGAUGAUCAGCCACAUUGGAAUUGAGAUAAAGUCCAACCUCGUUAGAGGCAGCAGUGGGGAAUAUUGGACAAUGAGCGCAAGCUUGAUCCAGCAAUAUCACGUGAGAGAUGAAAUAGAAUGUAAACCUCUUUUAUUAAGGAAGAUAAUGACAAGAAUUAAAGAAGAAGCCCCGGCUAAUUUCGUGCCAGCAGCCGCGGUAAAACGGAGGGGGCGAGUAUUAUUCGUAAGGAUUGGGCGUAAAGGGUAUGUAGGCUGUUCGAAAAAGGCCUUAUGUGAAAAAAGAACUGAAAAGGACUAAAGCAUAAGCAACAAUUGAACUAGAGUAGAAAAGAUGAACUUAGUAUAUCUAAUUAAGAGAUAAAAUUCGUAAAAAUUAAAUAGACUUGCAGUAGGCGAAAGCAAAGUUCAAUACGCUACUGACGCUGAGGUACGAAAGCAUAGGGAGCAAACAGGAUUAGAGACCCUGGUAGUCUAUGCUGUAAACGAUGAGUGUUCAAUAUUAAAAAGAAAUAAUAUUUUAGCUAACGCGUUAAACACUCCGCCUGAGUAGUACGGUCGCAAGAUUAAAACUCAAAGGAAUUGACGGAGAUUUGCGCAAUCGGGGGAGCAUGUAGUUUAAUUCGAAAUAACACGAAAAAUCUUACCAAUCUUUGCAUUAUGUAUAUUAUAUUUGAAAGAAGAAAAGGUUCAAACAAAUAAGCAUAAAACAGGUGCUGCAUGGCUGUCGUCAGUUCGUGCUGUUAGGUGUUAGGUUAAUUCCUUUAUCGAACGUAAUCCUUAUAUUUAGUUACACAAAAUCUAAAUAGCUGAAAAUGACACGGUUUACGUGGAAGUUGAGGAGGAUGUCAAGUCUGUAUGGCCUUUAUAGAUUGGGCUACAUAUGUGCUACAAUGGUUAAUACAAAAGGAAGCGAAAGUGAAAGCUGGAGCAAAUCCUAAAAGUUAAUCUCAGUUUGGAUUGGUUUCUGAAACUCGAAAUCAUGAAAGUGGACUCGAUAGUAAUCGUAGAUUAGUACGCUUCGGUGAAUCGGUGUCAAAUCUAGUACACACCGCCUCAACGACGGGGCGGUAUAUAUGGAAACAUAUAUAAUAGAAAAUUUAGCUA
Non-coding RNA from Trichophyton benhamiae CBS 112371, 1369 nucleotides. The record is from Rfam. Lineage: Eukaryota; Fungi; Ascomycota; Eurotiomycetes; Onygenales; Arthrodermataceae.